This 1695-nucleotide long non-coding RNA is filed under the name Triticum aestivum (bread wheat). RNAcentral's name for it is "long non-coding RNA (TAES_LNC024581)". The record is from RNAcentral. Lineage: Eukaryota; Viridiplantae; Streptophyta; Magnoliopsida; Poales; Poaceae.
UACAUCUUGAAGGUGAUUUACCCAAUGCACUUGCACUAUCCAGGUAGAAGCUCCGAAGAAUUGGAGAUUUAGAACUAACUAACAAUAGCUAAUAGUGUGAUUAAAAUGCUUGAUUUGAGUUUUUUGGGCAAAUGUGACAAAAUGAAUUGCCAACUAUUGCAGCUUCUUGGGCAUUAAAGUAUUACAGACGUUAUUCUGCAACAGUGAGUGCAGCGCCGUACGUUAGCACCAGGACACGUCGCUAGAGGAUUUCCCGAUGAUGCAAAUUCAUCAUUUUGCAUUUGAUUGGCAUUGGAGAAAUCCAAAAGCUACCACAAAGCUUCUCUGCAUGCAUAAGUGAGCACUGUACCCGCUCUCUAACACAAACUUAUAUUUUGAAGUCUUAAAACAUGUCUAGGAAACUGUUCUGAGAUAUUGUAUUGUUAAAAAGAAUAAGAUACCUCACUUCAAUUGAAUCUAUAAGCUGUAAGAUAAAUUUGGUGAUAAUGUAUCGGUCUUCUAUUCCCUUCAUUUUGCUAGCUUAUGCGGGGCUUUAUCUAUGUACAUGUGCAUGUUGGGAUAGGUUGAUAUGCUAGGUUGCUUUUUGCUAGGUUGAUACUGGACAGUAUCCUGGCCUACUUUUUGCUAGGUUGCAAGCUCAAAGCCAUUAGACGUAAUCCCCAAUGGAACAUAUGGCCGAAGGGUUGCAUUUAACUAGGUUGUGACACUAGAUUAUCUUUUCUAAAUACUAGGUUGUGAGACUAGAUGUAUUGCCAACAUGAUUGGUGUCAUGCGAUACAAGGACACGUCAACUACCUAUUUACACUUGGUGCUAAAGGCAAUAGCUUAGCAAAAUAAGUUACUGUGUUGAUUAACGUUUGGUUUUUUCCCUCUUUUUCAUCUGAAUAGCAUUGCCGUAGAUAUCCAUUUUAGAUAACAUGUUUGAAAAUUUGAAAUUUUCCAAGUUACUAUAUAGUGACAAUGUAUUUUUUUGUUAAGAGGUUUUAAGGGUUAAUUCUUUUUCUGAAAGUUAUCCUUUUAUCUAAACUAAAUGGUUUUCGUCUGAGAUGAAACAAUGUGUUUACUGUACCAAGAAGGGGAUGUAUGCAUUGUUUCUAUAUCCAAAUUAGCCAAAUUGUAAUUUCUUAUAUGGAGGCUCUUUGCAAUACAUCUUGGGGCAGCGUGCAAAAUUUAUGCUGGACUCGUGAGUCGGUGCGGCAAAGCAUGCAUGUUGCUUCUAGUUUUAUUGUUAACCAUGCUAUUGUCCAAACUCCUUUUUAUUCUGCUCAUAUGAUAUUGCUUAUCUUUUGUUUUCUGUCCCGAUGCCUCAUGUAUUUACAGUAGAAAUGUUCUAAAUUUAGUGCUUCUUGAACAUGUCCAGGGCAAUGGAUAAAGUCUAGAUGCUAAGUUGACUUUUUUCCUGCAGAUUUGCUUAUCGUGAAGACGCUUGCAAGGAUGCAGCGGGAGCAGAUCAUUUGGAGAGAUAGGAUGCGACAAAUUGGUCUUUCUAUGCAUUUUGGUUUGCUUGUAACCGUGUUUGCAUUAGCUGGGAAUAAGUGACUUGGCAAGAACUGUAGGUGUCUGGAUAUGCUCUAAUGCUCCUGGUUUACUAUAAAUCUUGGAUUUGUAAUGAUGUGUAAUGCAUAAAAUGGAAUUUGGGGAUUUUAAUUUUUUUAAUUCGUAAUUAGUUAGUAGUAGCGUGGGGAAAAACCAUGC